Molecule: microRNA precursor, 203 nt
Filed under: Prunus dulcis (almond)
Lineage: Eukaryota; Viridiplantae; Streptophyta; Magnoliopsida; Rosales; Rosaceae
Description: sRNA ncRNA
Source: RNAcentral
UGUUACACAAGAGAGAGAGAGAGAGAGAGAGAGAGAGAGAGAGAGAGAGAGAGAGAGAGAAUGAGGAGCAGGGAGUUCUGAGUCCAACCCACAUGCGCCCCAUCAUCAUUACAGCUCAGUGAAUGGGUUGCCAUAGCCCAUAGCAUUUGAUACAUCUCUCUCUCUCUCUCUCUCUCUCUCUCUCUCUCUCUCUCUCUCUCUCU